UACGUAGGGGGCAAGCGUUAUCCGGAUUUACUGGGUGUAAAGGGAGCGUAGACGGCGGCGCAAGCCAGAUGUGAAAGCCCGGGGCUCAACCCCGGGACUGCAUUUGGAACUGUGCCGCUAGAGUGUCGGAGAGGCAGGCGGAAUUCCUAGUGUAGCGGUGAAAUGCGUAGAUAUUAGGAGGAACACCAGUGGCGAAGGCGGCCUGCUGGACGACGACUGACGUUGAGGCUCGAAAGCGUGGGGAGCAA
RNAcentral lists this ribosomal RNA (248 nucleotides) under uncultured Lachnoclostridium sp. RNAcentral describes it as "partial 16S ribosomal RNA". It matches the Rfam family "Bacterial small subunit ribosomal RNA", at positions 524 to 771 of the family's 1533-position model. The record is from RNAcentral. Lineage: Bacteria; Bacillati; Bacillota; Clostridia; Lachnospirales; Lachnospiraceae.